This 499-nucleotide ribosomal RNA is filed under the name uncultured bacterium. RNAcentral describes it as "partial 16S ribosomal RNA". It matches the Rfam family "Bacterial small subunit ribosomal RNA", at positions 28 to 507 of the family's 1533-position model. The record is from RNAcentral.
GACGAACGCUGGCGGCGUGCUUAACACAUGCAAGUCGAACGGGCCCGCCCCUGUUUUUGGGGGUGGGUUGAGUGGCGAACGGGUGAGUAUCACGUGGGUAACCUGCCCCCUGCUCCUGGAUAACUGCUUGAAAGGGCGGCUAAUACGGGGUGUGCCGGCUGGUCCGCAUGGGCCUGGUCGGGAUAGUUUCAUCUUCGGGUGUUUCGGUGGGGGAUGGGCUCGCGGCCUAUCAGCUUGUUGGGGGGGUGAUGGCCCACCAAGGCGGUGACGGGUAGCCGGCCUGAGAGGGUGGGCGGCCACACUGGGACUGAGACACGGCCCAGACUCCUGCGGGAGGCAGCAGUGGGGGGUAUUGCACAAUGGGCGGAAGCCUGAUGCAGCGACGUCGCGUGAGGGAUGGAGGCCUUCGGGUUGUGAACCUCUUUCUCCGGUGGUGAAGGCCCUGUCCGUUGCGGCGGGGUUGACGGUAGCCGGGUAUGAAGCGCCGGCUAACUACGUG